Molecule: non-coding RNA, 217 nt
Filed under: Geosporobacter subterraneus
Lineage: Bacteria; Bacillati; Bacillota; Clostridia; Peptostreptococcales; Thermotaleaceae
Description: T-box sequence
Rfam family: T-box leader
About the family: Uncharged tRNA acts as the effector for transcription antitermination of genes in the T-box leader family. T-boxes are found upstream of many aminoacyl-tRNA synthetase genes and some amino acid biosynthetic genes usually in Gram-positive bacteria. The anticodon of a specific tRNA base pairs to a specifier sequence within the T-box motif, and the NCCA acceptor tail of the tRNA base pairs to a conserved bulge in the T-box antiterminator hairpin.
Source: RNAcentral
GAAAAGACUGUGAAGAGAAAUAGUAAAUAGUUCAGUUUGUGUAGAGAGCCGGUGGUAGGUGCAAACCGGUGAAAUUGGCUAUUGAAUCCGUCUCGGAGUUGUGGACUGAAAGAAAGAGUAGGUCCAAACGGGUGCGACCGUUAUAUCGCAGCAAAGAGGAUUGAAGGAAUUCAAUCAAUUUGGGUGGCAACGCGGGAAUAUAACUCUCGUCCCUAUC